GCUGGCGGCGUGCCUAACACAUGCAAGUCGAACGAGAAAGUGGAGCAAUCCAUGAGUAAAGUGGCGACCGGGUGAGUAACACGUGACUAACCUACCCUCGAGUGGGGAAUAACUCCGGGAAACCGGGGCUAAUACCGCAUAACAUCGCAAGAUCAAAGCAGCAAUGCGCUUGAGGAGGGGGUCGCGGCUGAUUAGCUAGUUGGCGGGGUAACGGCCCACCAAGGCGAAGAUCGGUAUCCGGCCUGAGAGGGCGCACGGACACACUGGAACUGAAACACGGUCCAGACUCCUACGGGAGGCAGCAGUGGGGAAUUUUGCGCAAUGGGGGAAACCCUGACGCAGCAACGCCGCGUGGAGGAUGAAGCCCUUUGGGGCGUAAACUCCUUUCGACUCGGACGAUAAUGACGGUACGAGUGGAAGAAGCACCGGCUAACUCUGUGC
RNAcentral lists this ribosomal RNA (441 nucleotides) under uncultured bacterium. RNAcentral's name for it is "bacterial SSU rRNA". It matches the Rfam family "Bacterial small subunit ribosomal RNA", at positions 35 to 508 of the family's 1533-position model. The record is from RNAcentral.